Long non-coding RNA from Ochotona curzoniae (black-lipped pika), 654 nucleotides. RefSeq lists it as uncharacterized. The transcript is spliced from 4 exons. NCBI's taxonomy places the organism in Eukaryota, Metazoa, Chordata, Mammalia, Lagomorpha, Ochotonidae. The record is from RefSeq and is a predicted model, not a curated record.
UGACUAAUUAAAAAUUUUUUUUAAAAAAGUAAGUGAUGAUUUGAUAUGUAGGACAUUACCUGAUGAUGGACCCAUUAAAUAUACAUUAUUUCCCAGAAAGUAUCAUUCUAGGCAUCAACUAAAAUGGACCAGAACAAAUAACUUCCGAAGAAGCGUGAUGAGGAAUUGCUGCUCCAGUUUGGAAAGCCUAGAUUGGCUGUGUUGAGUACAGGUCUCUGAAGCCGCUGAAAAUGAGCCCAUGAUAAGGAAGGACAGCUGUGUUUGGAAACCCGAAUUUGCAGAGCUUAAUAACAGACCUAUGACCUCUACUUGUGACUGAACUUCCAGAUGGUGCUGUGGAAAAGCUGGUGCUCCAGGAUCUCCUAGAGCUCUCCCAAGGCCUGACGAAGGAUGCUGCUCCUUUCUGGAGUCCUGGUUUAGUGGAAGAUAGUUCACGGUCCAGAAACAUGUGGCCCUCUAACCUCAGAAUUCUCCAGAGGUUUUUGAAUCUACUCUUGCACAAAGAGAAUUUUGGAUCUUCUUGUGAAAUAUGGUUACUCGCUAACUAGCAACACCUGGCCAAGUACUCACUGUUGAUGUCAUGAAACCAGUUUCAUACAGGUACAUAUUUUAAAGCUUUUGAUUAUAAAUAAGUAAGAAAAUAAAAAGGUGUAA